AAGAGUUAUUAUAAACUCCCAAACCCAUGUGAACAUACCUAUCGUUGCUUCGGCAGGUCGCGUCUACCUUGUAAGCUCCUACCCUGGAGCGCCCUACCCGGUAGACGCGGGCAAGCCUGCCGGUAGCCCACGCAAAAACUCUUGUUUAAUAUUGCAACUCUGAAUCUAUAACUAAAUAAGUUA
This 183-nucleotide unclassified non-coding RNA is filed under the name uncultured Xylariales. Its description in RNAcentral is "sequence contains ITS1". The record is from RNAcentral. Lineage: Eukaryota; Fungi; Ascomycota; Sordariomycetes; Xylariales.